This 77-nucleotide transfer RNA is filed under the name Lentimicrobium saccharophilum. RNAcentral's name for it is "tRNA-Met". It matches the Rfam family "tRNA". Rfam says of the family: Transfer RNA (tRNA) molecules are approximately 80 nucleotides in length. The record is from RNAcentral. RNAcentral also lists the same sequence under 3 other names. Lineage: Bacteria; Pseudomonadati; Bacteroidota; Bacteroidia; Bacteroidales; Lentimicrobiaceae.
GGCGGGGUAGCUCAGAUGGUUAGAGCGCAGGAUUCAUAACCCUGAGGUCACGAGUUCAAUUCUCGUCCCCGCUACCA